RNAcentral lists this ribosomal RNA (301 nucleotides) under uncultured bacterium. RNAcentral describes it as "partial 16S ribosomal RNA". It matches the Rfam family "Bacterial small subunit ribosomal RNA", at positions 509 to 807 of the family's 1533-position model. The record is from RNAcentral.
CAGUCGCCGCGGGAAUACGUAGGUGGCAAGCGUUGUCCGGAAUUAUUGGGCGUAAAGGGCUCGCAGGCGGUUUCUUAAGUCUGAUGUGAAAGCCCCCGGCUCAAUCGGGGAGGCUCAUUGGAAACUGGGAAACUUGAGUGCAGAAGAGGAGAGUGGAAUUCCACGUGUAGCGGUGAAAUGCGUAGAGAUGUGGAGGAACACCAGUGGCGAAGGCGACUCUCUGGUCUGUAACUGACGCUGAGGAGCGAAAGCGUGGGGAGCGAGCAGGAUUAGAUACCCCUGUAGUCCCUGUCUCUUAUAC